GUGCCUGUGGGAUGAACAGGUCUCAAUAUUUGCUUCCAUUUUUUUUUUUACUUUGUCAGCUAACAGCCAUACAUUUUUAGCUGAUCAUUAAAAAGGGGAAAUGU
Small nucleolar RNA from Phragmites australis (common reed), 104 nucleotides. RefSeq annotates it as small nucleolar RNA snoR99. The transcript has a single exon. The record is from RefSeq and is a predicted model, not a curated record. NCBI's taxonomy places the organism in Eukaryota, Viridiplantae, Streptophyta, Magnoliopsida, Poales, Poaceae.